UACGUAGGGUGCAAGCGUUGUCCGGAGUUAUUGGGCGUAAAGAGCUCGUAGGCGGUCUGUUGCGUCCGCUGUGAAAACUCGGGGCUUAACCCCGAGCCUGCAGUGGAUACGGGCAGACUAGAGGUAGGUAGGGGAGAAUGGAAUUCCCGGUGUAGCGGUGAAAUGCGCAGAUAUCGGGAGGAACACCGGUGGCGAAGGCGGUUCUCUGGGCCUAACCUGACGCUGAGGAGCGAAAGCGUGGGGAGCGAACAGG
This 253-nucleotide ribosomal RNA is filed under the name uncultured bacterium. Its description in RNAcentral is "partial 16S ribosomal RNA". It matches the Rfam family "Bacterial small subunit ribosomal RNA", at positions 524 to 776 of the family's 1533-position model. The record is from RNAcentral.